Molecule: long non-coding RNA, 519 nt
Organism: Oncorhynchus keta (chum salmon)
Lineage: Eukaryota; Metazoa; Chordata; Actinopteri; Salmoniformes; Salmonidae
Exons: 3
Source: RefSeq, a predicted model, not a curated record
ACCAGGUACACACACACACACACACUCUCAUGGUCUAUGACAUCACCAGGUACACACACACACACACACUCUCAUGGUCUAUGACAUCACCAGGUACACACACACACACACACACUCUCAUGGUCUAUGACAUCACCAGGUACACACACACACACACACACACACACUCAUGGUCUAUGACAUCACCAGGUACACACACACACACACACACACACUCAUGGUCUAUGACAUCACCAGGUACACACACACACACACACACACUCAUGGUCUAUGACAUCACCAGGUACACACACACACACACACACUCAUGGUCUAUGACAUCACCAGGUACACACACACACACACACACACACACACUCAUGGUCUAUGACAUCACCAGGUACACACACACACACACACACACACACACACACACACACACACACACACACACUCAUGGUCUAUGACAUCACCAGGUACACACACACACACACACACACACUCAUGGUCUAUGACAUCACCAGGUACACACACACACAC